RNAcentral lists this long non-coding RNA (321 nucleotides) under Elaeis guineensis (African oil palm). RNAcentral describes it as "long non-coding RNA (EGUI_LNC052594)". The record is from RNAcentral. Lineage: Eukaryota; Viridiplantae; Streptophyta; Magnoliopsida; Arecales; Arecaceae.
UUCGCUAUUUCAUCUCUCCUAGAGAUUGUACAGGAAUCCUCUCUCGUGUAAACAACCAUUGCUGUACUCCCUUUGAUCAUCUCCUCUUCUUCGUUGCCUUCUCCUCGAUGCCUUUUAAACUCAAACUUUUUAGGGGCUAUUAUUGAAUAACAGUGAUUAUCUAAAAAUGCUACCAUCUGAAAGAAGAAAAUGAUGAAAGAAAAUGUUUAUCCUCAACGGCAGAGAUGGGGAUGUCGAGAAGCUCUACUUGUCCGAAGGAAGAAAACGAAGAAAAUGUUGGUCGUCAGAGUGAAGGGAAGACGAAGUGGUAUAUUGGGAGAG